This 396-nucleotide long non-coding RNA is filed under the name Ricinus communis (castor bean). RNAcentral describes it as "long non-coding RNA (RCOM_LNC002200)". The record is from RNAcentral. Lineage: Eukaryota; Viridiplantae; Streptophyta; Magnoliopsida; Malpighiales; Euphorbiaceae.
GAACAUUUAUUCAGUCAUCCUUCGUUUGAAAAAGGAAUUGCUUAAAAAAGCACUUUAAGACUCCUUAAAAAAAAAAAAAAAGCAAUUUAAAAAAGUGAAAAGAUAUAGAAAGAAUAUCCAGAUUAUAGGACGUGGCAGGAAGCAAGUGGUCCUGUGUGCAGGUUCAGGAACAACAAUGCAUGUGUGGUUCAUUGGGAGAGGAAGCUCGUUGGUUGCGUGCGUGAAGUGAGGACGAGAAGAGUUGUGGGCCAAUUAGGGAUAUCAUAUCCAUCUUCUUAUUUAGAGGUAUCCCAGACGUCACACUUAGCAGCGUUUUAGCAAUAAUGAACGAAUGCUGUUUGUCACUGUACGAGUUAAAAUCUGUUAAUGUCAUUAUUGUUUUAUUUUAUUCGGUCC